Molecule: unclassified non-coding RNA, 268 nt
Filed under: uncultured Fusariella
Lineage: Eukaryota; Fungi; Ascomycota; Sordariomycetes; Hypocreales
Description: sequence contains ITS2
Rfam family: 5.8S ribosomal RNA (bases 1-52)
Source: RNAcentral
AACGCACAUUGCGCCCGCCAGUACUCUGGCGGGCAUGCCUGUCUGAGCGUCAUUUCAACCCUCGCCCCCGGCUUCUGUCGGGGACGGUGUUGGGGAUCGGCCUCCCGUCUUCCGGGUGGCCGGCCCCUAAAUCGAGUGGCGACCACGUCGUAACCUCCUCUGCGUAGUAGUUAAACACUCGCGGGCGGAGAGCGGUGCGGCCUGCCGUAAAACCCCCAACUCUUCUAAGGUUGACCUCAGAUCAGGUAGGAAUACCCGCUGAACUUAA